RNAcentral lists this transfer RNA (88 nucleotides) under Ophioglossum vulgatum (southern adder's-tongue). Its description in RNAcentral is "tRNA-Leu". It matches the Rfam family "tRNA". From Rfam's summary of the family: Transfer RNA (tRNA) molecules are approximately 80 nucleotides in length. Their secondary structure includes four short double-helical elements and three loops (D, anti-codon, and T loops). RNAcentral also lists the same sequence under 2 other names. Lineage: Eukaryota; Viridiplantae; Streptophyta; Polypodiopsida; Ophioglossales; Ophioglossaceae. The record is from RNAcentral.
GGGGGUAUGGCGAAAUGGUAGACGCUACGGACUUAAAAUCCGUUGGUCCCUGCUGCAAACCGUGAGGGUUCAAAUCCCUCUAUCCCCA